CUACGGGGGGCAGCAGUGGGGAAUAUUGGACAAUGGGGGAAACCCUGAUCCAGCAAUGCCGCGUGUGUGAAGAAGGCCUGCGGGUUGUAAAGCACUUUCGGUUGGGAGGACUGCUUCUAGCACUAAUAUUGUUGGAAGUUGACGUUACCUUCAGAAGAAGCACCGGCUAACUCCGUGCCAGCAGCCGCGGUAAUACGGAGGGUGCAAGCGUGAAUCGGAAUUACUGGGCGUAAAGCGCGCGUAGGCGGCUAGAUCAGUCGGGUGUGAAAGCCCCGGGCUUAACCUGGGAACUGCAUCCGAUACUGUCUAGCUGGAGUACAGGAGAGGAGAGUGGAAUUCCACAUGUAGCGGUGAUAUGCGUAGAUAUGUGGAGGAACACCAAUGGCGAAGGCAGCUCUCUGGCCUGAUACUGACGCUGAGGUGCGAAAGCGUGGGGAGCAAACAGGAUUAGAUACCCCAGUAGUC
This 465-nucleotide ribosomal RNA is filed under the name uncultured bacterium. Its description in RNAcentral is "partial 16S ribosomal RNA". It matches the Rfam family "Bacterial small subunit ribosomal RNA", at positions 339 to 795 of the family's 1533-position model. The record is from RNAcentral.